CAGCCAGUACGGAGUAGUCAAGCGCAUCUCCGUAUCAAGGAGUCUGUCGCGGGUUCGAAUCCCGCCUGGUUGG
This 73-nucleotide transfer RNA is filed under the name Operophtera brumata (winter moth). It matches the Rfam family "tRNA". Rfam says of the family: Transfer RNA (tRNA) molecules are approximately 80 nucleotides in length. Their secondary structure includes four short double-helical elements and three loops (D, anti-codon, and T loops). Lineage: Eukaryota; Metazoa; Arthropoda; Insecta; Lepidoptera; Geometridae. The record is from Rfam by way of RNAcentral.